CAACUUGAGUUGGAUUCCCAAGACCCACA
RNAcentral lists this non-coding RNA (29 nucleotides) under Mus musculus (house mouse). The record is from RNAcentral. Lineage: Eukaryota; Metazoa; Chordata; Mammalia; Rodentia; Muridae.